RNAcentral lists this ribosomal RNA (292 nucleotides) under uncultured Bacillus sp. RNAcentral's name for it is "partial 16S ribosomal RNA". It matches the Rfam family "Bacterial small subunit ribosomal RNA", at positions 505 to 796 of the family's 1533-position model. Lineage: Bacteria; Bacillati; Bacillota; Bacilli; Caryophanales; Bacillaceae. The record is from RNAcentral.
GUGUCAGCCGCCGCGGUAAUACGUAGGUGGCAAGCGUUAUCCGGAAUUAUUGGGCGUAAAGCGCGCGCAGGUGGUUUCUUAAGUCUGGUGUGAAAGCCCACGGCUCAACCGUGGAGGGUCAUUGGAAACUGGGAGACUUGAGUGCAGAAGAGGAAAGUGGAAUUCCAUGUGUAGCGGUGAAAUGCGUAGAGAUAUGGAGGAACACCAGUGGCGAAGGCGACUUUCUGGUCUGUAACUGACACUGAGGCGCGAAAGCGUGGGGAGCAAACAGGAUUAGAUACCCUCGUAGUCC